Molecule: long non-coding RNA, 623 nt
Organism: Bombus impatiens (common eastern bumble bee)
Lineage: Eukaryota; Metazoa; Arthropoda; Insecta; Hymenoptera; Apidae
Exons: 2
Source: RefSeq, a predicted model, not a curated record
UUAUUAUUAUUAUUAUUAUUAUCAUUAUUAUGAAAACCGACCCUCAGAAUGUGUUAGAAGUGUCUUGAAAAAUACAUUUGAAGAAAAUUUUGUCAUUUUAAAUUGGACAAAAUAUGAUAAUACUGUGAAGAGCACGUGUGUCGAACAGUGAGAAGAGCCACUGGCUUAAAUUCAGGAGAACCAGCGCCAACGAGACUAGGCUCUCUGCUUCGAAUUGGAUGCCUAGAAAGUUUCACUUUUAUAUGUACAUCUGCUAAGAUUUUACACUGUCGAAUCUAGAGGAUUGAAGGCCUUCCUCAGGUGCAAGGGAUGGACGAGAGCUCAUAAAAGGAGUUAACUCGACUAAAGACGACGCUUCUGACAACAACGUUGUAUAAUCAUACGCUCAAAUCUUUCUUUCUCUCUCUCUCUCUCUCAUAUAUAUAUAUUUUUUUUCGUUCAUCGAUCAAGAAAGUUAAAACUGGAAGUUUCAUUUGUCAUUGGUGCACACGAUUCAUUUAGAAGCGUCGUCACGGAGUCGCGUGGAUCGGUUCCGAAUCCAGGGAUGUAAAUCACUGUGCGAUACGAUUUUGUAAUGUAACUGUGCAUACGGAAGCAUGUAAUAAAAGAAGAGUAAACGACGA